Non-coding RNA from Cinara cedri, 419 nucleotides. The record is from the annotation of a GenBank genome assembly. Lineage: Eukaryota; Metazoa; Arthropoda; Insecta; Hemiptera; Aphididae.
GCCCACGUUGCGAAAUGAUAAUCAUCCCGUGAGUCGUGUUGAAUACGAUGACGAAGACGAGUGAGGCGCUUGUCGUCCGAACGUGUUUGAAGUACUUAACAAACUUAGGCCACCAUCAAUAAUGUUCUGCUCUAAUCAAAUGAUGUUCGUAGCGUAAUACUUCAAAUGCACGUACGACUUCGAACACCACCAGCAUGUUUCACCAACACGCGAUGAGGUCAAUGGUUUGCAGCCUCGGAACUACACUGCCCUAAAUGACAAAACAUAACUUUGUGAGCUGCUUGCUAAUUACGAAAACGAUAUUAUCCAUCUAACACUUUGUUAUACGUAUAAUGCAAGUUAUCGGGUUUCCUAAUAACAUGCAAUAUCGCUAAAAUAUUUCACCGUAAGUGAUUGAAAAAAAUAAUAGAUUUUUUCCG